Molecule: ribosomal RNA, 198 nt
Filed under: uncultured bacterium
Lineage: Bacteria
Description: partial 16S ribosomal RNA
Rfam family: Bacterial small subunit ribosomal RNA
Source: RNAcentral
ACGCUCGACACCUACUGGAGGCAGCAGUGGGGAAUAUUGCACAAUGGGGGAAACCCUGAUGCAGCGACGCCGCGUGAGCGAAGAAGUAUUUCGGUAUGUAAAGCUCUAUCAGCAGGGAAGAAACUGACGGUACCUGACUAAGAAGCACCGGCUAAAUACGUGCCACCAGCCGCGGUAAUCUGAGCGGGCUGGCAAGGC